This 397-nucleotide ribosomal RNA is filed under the name uncultured bacterium. RNAcentral's name for it is "partial 16S ribosomal RNA". It matches the Rfam family "Bacterial small subunit ribosomal RNA", at positions 523 to 918 of the family's 1533-position model. The record is from RNAcentral.
AUACGUAGGGGGCGAGCGUUGUCCGGAAUGAUUGGGCGUAAAGGGCGCGUAGGCGGCGCGGUAAGUCUGGAGUGAAAGUCCUGCUUUCAAGGUGGGAAUUGCUUUGGAUACUGCCGCGCUUGAGUGCAGGAGAGGUUAUCGGAAUUCCCGGUGUAGCGGUGAAAUGCGUAGAGAUCGGGAGGAACACCAGUGGCGAAGGCGGGUAACUGGACUGCAACUGACGCUGAGGCGCGAAAGUGUGGGGAGCAAACAGGAUUAGAUAUCCUGGUAGUCCACACUGUAAACGAUGAAUGCCAGGUGUAAGAGGUAUCGACCCCUUUUGUGCCGGAGUCAACACAAUAAGCAUUCCGCCUGGGGAGUACGGCCGCAAGGUUGAAACUCAAAUGAAUUGACGGGG